This 893-nucleotide ribosomal RNA is filed under the name uncultured bacterium. RNAcentral describes it as "bacterial SSU rRNA". It matches the Rfam family "Bacterial small subunit ribosomal RNA", at positions 57 to 950 of the family's 1533-position model. The record is from RNAcentral.
GCAGUCGAGCGGACAGAAGGGAGCUUGCUCCCGGAUGUUAGCGGCGGACGGGUGAGAAACACGUGGGUAACCUGCCUGUAAGACUGGGAUAACUCCGGGAAACCGGAGCUAAUACCGGAUAGUUCCUUGAACCGCAUGGUUCAAGGAUGAAAGACGGUUUCGGCUGUCACUUACAGAUGGACCCGCGGCGCAUUAGCUAGUUGGUGAGGUAACGGCUCACCAAGGCGACGAUGCGUAGCCGACCUGAGAGGGUGAUCGGCCACACUGGGACUGAGACACGGCCCAGACUCCUACGGGAGGCAGCAGUAGGGAAUCUUCCGCAAUGGACGAAAGUCUGACGGAGCAACGCCGCGUGAGUGAUGAAGGUUUUCGGAUCGUAAAGCUCUGUUGUUAGGGAAGAACAAGUGCAAGAGUAACUGCUUGCACCUUGACGGUACCUAACCAGAAAGCCACGGCUAACUACGUGCCAGCAGCCGCGGUAAUACGUAGGUGGCAAGCGUUGUCCGGAAUUAUUGGGCGUAAAGGGCUCGCAGGCGGUUUCUUAAGUCUGAUGUGAAAGCCCCCGGCUCAACCGGGGAGGGUCAUUGGAAACUGGGAAACUUGAGUGCAGAAGAGGAGAGUGGAAUUCCACGUGUAGCGGUGAAAUGCGUAGAGAUGUGGAGGAACACCAGUGGCGAAAGCGACUCUCUGGUCUGUAACUGACGCUGAGAGCGAAAGCGUGGGGAGCGAACAGAUUACAUACCCUGGUAGUCCACGCCGUAACGAUGAGUGCUAAGUGUUAGGGGGUUCCGCCCCUUAUGCUGCAGCUACGCAUAGCACUCCGCCUGGGGAGUACGUCGCAGACUGAAGCUCAAGAUUGACUGGGGCCCGCACAGCGUGAGCAUGUGUUUAAU